CCUACGGGUGACAGCAGUAGGGAAUAUUGCUCAAUGGGGGAAACCCUGAAGCAGCAACGCCGCGUGGAGGAUGAAGGUUUUCGGAUUGUAAACUCCUUUUGUUAGAGAAGAUAAUGACGGUAUCUAACGAAUAAGCACCGGCUAACUCCGUGCCAGCAGCCGCGGUAAUACGGAGGGUGCAAGCGUUACUCGGAAUCACUGGGCGUAAAGAGCGCGUAGGCGGGAUAGCAAGUCAGAUGUGAAAUCCUAUGGCUUAACCAUAGAACUGCAUGUGAAACUGUUAUUCUAGAGUAUGGGAGAGGUAGGUGGAAUUCUUGGUGUAGGGGUAAAAUGCGUAGAGAUCAAGAGGAAGACUCAUUGCGAAGGCGACCUGCUAGAACAUAACUGACGCUGAUGCGCGAAAGCGUGGGGAGCAAACAGGAUUAGAUACCCUAGUAGUC
RNAcentral lists this ribosomal RNA (440 nucleotides) under uncultured bacterium. RNAcentral describes it as "partial 16S ribosomal RNA". It matches the Rfam family "Bacterial small subunit ribosomal RNA", at positions 338 to 795 of the family's 1533-position model. The record is from RNAcentral.